AGAUUGAACGCUGGCGGCAGGCCUAACACAUGCAAGUCGAGCGGCAGCACGGGUACUUGUACCUGGUGGCGAGCGGCGGACGGGUGAGUAAUGCCUAGGAAUCUGCCUGAUAGUGGGGGAUAACGUUCGGAAACGGACGCUAAUACCGCAUACGAUCUAUGGAUGAAAGCGGGGGACCGUAAGGCCUCGCGCGAUUGGAGCGGCCGAUAUCAGAUUAGGAGUUGGUGGGUAAAGGCUCACCAAGCCAACGAUCUGUAGCUGGUCUGAGAGGACGACCAGCCACACUGGGACUGAGACACGGCCCAGACUCCUACGGGAGGCAGCAGUGGGAAUUUUGGACAAUGGGCGCAAGCCUGAUCCAGCAAUGCCGCGUGCAGGAAGAAGGCCUUCGGUUGUAAACGUGUCUUUUGUACGAACGAAACGGUCCGUGGUUAAUACCUGGGCUAAGUGACGGUACCGUAAGAUAAGACACCGGCUAACUACGUCGCCAGCACGCCGA
RNAcentral lists this ribosomal RNA (499 nucleotides) under uncultured soil bacterium. RNAcentral's name for it is "bacterial SSU rRNA". It matches the Rfam family "Bacterial small subunit ribosomal RNA", at positions 26 to 521 of the family's 1533-position model. The record is from RNAcentral.